Molecule: ribosomal RNA, 496 nt
Filed under: uncultured bacterium
Lineage: Bacteria
Description: partial 16S ribosomal RNA
Rfam family: Bacterial small subunit ribosomal RNA
Source: RNAcentral
AUGAACGCUGGCGGCGUGCCUAAUACAUGCAAGUCGAGCGAACAGACGACGAGCUUGCUCCUCUGACGUUAGCGGCGGACGGGUGAGUAACACGUGGAUAACCUACCUAUAAGACUGGGAUAACUUCGGGAAACCGGAGCUAAUACCGGAUAAUAUAUUGAACCGCAUGGUUCAAUAGUGAAAGACGGUUUUGCUGUCACUUAUAGAUGGAUCCGCGCCGCAUUAGCUAGUUGGUAAGGUAACGGCUUACCAAGGCAACGAUGCGUAGCCGACCUGAGAGGGUGAUCGGCCACACUGGAACUGAGACACGGUCCAGACUCCUACGGGAGGCAGCAGUAGGGAAUCUUCCGCAAUGGGCGAAAGCCUGACGGAGCAACGCCGCGUGAGUGAUGAAGGUCUUCGGAUCGUAAAACUCUGUUAUUAGGGAAGAACAAAUGUGUAAGUAACUAUGCACGUCUUGACGGUACCUAAUCAGAAAGCCACGGCUAACUACGUG